RNAcentral lists this ribosomal RNA (253 nucleotides) under uncultured bacterium. RNAcentral describes it as "partial 16S ribosomal RNA". It matches the Rfam family "Bacterial small subunit ribosomal RNA", at positions 524 to 776 of the family's 1533-position model. The record is from RNAcentral.
UACGAAGGGGGCUAGCGUUGUUCGGAAUCACUGGGCGUAAAGGGCGCGUAGGCGGCUUUGUAAGUCGGUUGUGAAAGCCUGUGGCUCAACCGCAGAAUUGCCUUCGAUACUGCAUGGCUUGAGACCGGAAGAGGUAAGUGGAACUGCGAGUGUAGAGGUGAAAUUCGUAGAUAUUCGCAAGAACGCCAGUGGCGAAGGCGGCUUACUGGUCCGGUUCUGACGCUGAGGCGCGAAAGCGUGGGGAGCAAACAGG